This 543-nucleotide ribosomal RNA is filed under the name Kluyveromyces marxianus. RNAcentral's name for it is "eukaryotic LSU rRNA". It matches the Rfam family "Eukaryotic large subunit ribosomal RNA", at positions 73 to 660 of the family's 3401-position model. The record is from RNAcentral. Lineage: Eukaryota; Fungi; Ascomycota; Saccharomycetes; Saccharomycetales; Saccharomycetaceae.
AUACCUUAGUACGGCGAGUGAAGCGGCAAAAGCUCAAUUUGAAAUCUGGCGUCUUCGACGUCCGAGCUUGUAAUUUGAAGAAGGCGACUUUGUAGCUGGUCCUUGUCUAUGUUCCUUGGAACAGGACGUCAUAGAGGGUGAGAAUCCCGUGUGGCGAGGAUCCCAGUUAUUUGUAAAGUGCUUUCGACGAGUCGAGUUGUUUGGGAAUGCAGCUCUAAGUGGGUGGUAAAUUCCAUCUAAAGCUAAAUAUUGGCGAGAGACCGAUAGCGAACAAGUACAGUGAUGGAAAGAUGAAAAGAACUUUGAAAAGAGAGUGAAAAAGUACGUGAAAUUGUUGAAAGGGAAGGGCAUUUGAUCAGACAUGGCGUUUGCUUCGGCUUUCGCUGGGCCAGCAUCAGUUUUAGCGGUUGGAUAAAUCCUCGGGAAUGUGGCUCUGCUUCGGUAGAGUGUUAUAGCCCGUGGGAAUACAGCCAGCUGGGACUGAGGAUUGCGACUUUUGUCAAGGAUGCUGGCGUAAUGAUUAAAUGCCGCCCGUCUUGAAAC